This is a small nuclear RNA of Cucurbita moschata (crookneck pumpkin), 106 nucleotides long. The record is from RefSeq and is a predicted model, not a curated record. Lineage: Eukaryota; Viridiplantae; Streptophyta; Magnoliopsida; Cucurbitales; Cucurbitaceae.
CUCAUUUUCAAAUGGGACAUCCGAUAAAAUUGGAACGAUACAGAGAAGAUUAGCAUGGUCCCUGCGCAAGGAUGACACGCAUAACUUGAAACCAUUACACAUGCAU